UCUGUUUGCUAGAACGUGUUCACAUUUCGCAUUCAAAAUGCUUGCAAAAUUACCCAUUGAAAUAAUGGAUAAAAUAUUCGAUUACCUGAACCUGAAAGACCAAUUGAAAAUGGCUAAAGUUAGCAAACAUUUUAAGUCUGUGUUUGUAUACAAUUCCCGCGACAAAUACAAGAAGAUUGUUUGCUGCAAAUAUUCAGACGACGAGCUCCAAUUAAUAAUGCGCCUAUGCGGACACAAAGUUACCCAUGUGAUGGUGUUACACAAUAUUAAUGAGGCGACUUGUAAACUAAUAUCGCAGUACUGCAUUAACAUAGAAUCUGCCAUUUUGAAUCUUAAAAAUGUUGGUGCAUGCAAAUCAAUAUUAGGAAUGAAUAGCCUGAAAACAAUUGCGUUGGAAAAUAUGGACGAGUGUGAUUUGGAUGUACUCAAUUACAUAAAUCCAGAAUGUAAAGGAUUAUCUGUAGGCAAUUUUUCGUAUGCUCAGGGUAUGAAUAGUAAUUAAUUCAAAUGGAAUAUCUUUAACAUUUGUGGCUUUUGCAGCUGAAAAUAUUGUGAAGCUGAUUAACUUGGAAACGUUGGAACUUUCUGGUUUACAAUGUUAUAAAACCGAUGAUCUGUUUAAAAUGUGUUCCUCUUUCAAGAAGUUGCGUGUCCUGACAAUUCGAGACAUUUACUUUACAACUCCCGAGCUAAGUAUAGGGAGAAAUGAUAUUGUAAUCUCAGAAUUGGAAGAACUUCAAAUCACUAAUUGUGACAUAAAUUUAAAUUUACUGCCCAAAUGUCCGAAGCUCAAAACAUUGAAAUUUGCUCCGAAUGAAUUUUUGAGGAACGUUGAAGUCAGAAAUAUUAUCAAAAUUUACGCUGGGACAUUGGAACAUUUUAAAUUUAAAAUUAAUCGCAAUAGACUCAAAAACUUUAGUUUAAAUGAUUUUAUAAAUGAUCUCGGAGAGUGCAGGAACAUCAAGAGUCUACAUGCAGAUGCGUUCUUGGUAUGGCGCUUAUUGCACCAUCAUCUCGACUCUUUUAUCACAUUUUUAAGGGAUAAAGGCUUCAAUCUACAGAGAUGUUUUGAAUUGAAAUGCGAUAUGCUGAUCGACAGUAAUCGGCUCCUUUUGGUGAGUGUUUAAAAAACACGAUGACUUCUGAUGUUGACACUUACUUUAUUUGCUUUUGUAGGAGAAAGAAAUUGUAAAAUCGGAAGUGUGCAAUUUAAUUAAAUAUUCCAGAUUUGGGCCAACUGUGAGCUUUAUUUUGCAAGUUAGGUAAUUACCUAACCCAAACCAAGCCAGCCCAAGCACUUGAAUCUCGAGGUAAAUGAAUAUUUUCAAACAAAGCUGUCUUAAAUGUUCUUAAAUAAAAAAUGUUAUACAUUUACU
This 1376-nucleotide long non-coding RNA is filed under the name Drosophila guanche. Lineage: Eukaryota; Metazoa; Arthropoda; Insecta; Diptera; Drosophilidae. The record is from RNAcentral.